AGCAGCCGCGGUAAUUCCAGCUCCAAUAGCGUAUAUUAAAGUUGUUGCAGUUAAAAAGCUCGUAGUUGAAUUUCGGGAUCAAUAUAUCGGUCGUGCCUUGGUACGUACUGGUAUCAUUGGUUUCUCCUUUCUGACGAACCAUGAUGUCAUUAAUUUGGUGUUAUGGGAAGUUAGGACUGUUACUUUGAAAAAAUUAGAGUGUUUAAAGCAGGCUUUAGCUUGAAUACAUUAGCAUGGAAUAAUGAAAUAGGACGUUCGAACCUAUUUUGUUGGUUUCUAGGAUCAACGUAAUGAUUAAUAGGGAUAGUUGGGGGCAUUAGUAUUCAAUUGUCAGAGGUGAAAUUCUUGGAUUUAUUGAAGACUAACUACUGCGAAAGCAUUUGCCAAGGAUGUUUUCAUUAAUCAAGAACGAAAGUUAGGGGAUCGAAGACGAUCAGAUACCGUCGUAGUCUUAACCAUAAACCUAUGCCGAC
RNAcentral lists this ribosomal RNA (473 nucleotides) under uncultured Glomus. Its description in RNAcentral is "SSU rRNA". It matches the Rfam family "Eukaryotic small subunit ribosomal RNA", at positions 569 to 1046 of the family's 1831-position model. The record is from RNAcentral. Lineage: Eukaryota; Fungi; Glomeromycota; Glomeromycetes; Glomerales; Glomeraceae.